This 2111-nucleotide long non-coding RNA is filed under the name Malus domestica (apple). Its description in RNAcentral is "long non-coding RNA (MDOM_LNC019859)". Lineage: Eukaryota; Viridiplantae; Streptophyta; Magnoliopsida; Rosales; Rosaceae. The record is from RNAcentral.
AAAUAAGUUUUUGUAACAUAUUUGAAGGAAGGAACUCAAAUAAACGCUACAUCCCAGAGAGACUUGAGCCUAAACAUUUAUUUGAAGAGUUAUUAAUCUAUGCAUUCUUGUUUUCUAAAGUUGUUGCAUGAUCUCAUUAUUUUUUGCUUCGUUCCUACUUAGAAUGCGUUCAUCAUUAUAGAUCCAAAUACUAGAACUCAUGCCCGUUCCAUUCAAAGCAUGACAAUGAUUUGCAUAACUCAUAUUCAAGAUGAAGUUGUUUAGUGAACCAAAGUCAAAUAGCCGAAUCCACCCUUGUCAUUUGUUUUGUAUGUUCAAACCUCUUUGAGCCUUGUUUAGCCUAUUUCCUUUGUUAACCACACUCUCCCUACCUAUCCUAGAAUAGGACUUUCCAUACCCUUGUUCUUAAAGUAUAGUGGAGCAUAACUUAGAAGGAAUUCCUUUUGAUGAACGUUAUUGGAGAAAUCAAAUGUGGGGGAAAGGUGUUUCAUGAGAAAUAUGUAUGGUUAGUGUGCCAAAAGAAAUGAAAGGCACAGGUAGAAAUAAAAGAAAAACAAAACAAAACAAAAAUAUGUGAAGAAAAGAAAGAAAAAGAGUUGAAAAUAAGUGAGAAUGAACUCACAAGUGUUGAUUGUUGAAGAAAGGGUCCAAAAGUUUGAAUUUGACCCUAAGUGUUGCAUGAACCUUCCCUUUGUGUUUUAAAGUGGAUUUCUGCAUUCUAAAGUGAAUUCUAAGUGUCAAUUUCAUUACUUUGCUCACUAUUGCUCUAAGAACGUUUGUCUAUCCUUACCUUUCUUUGUUAGCCAAUACCUUAGCCCCGUUACAACCCUUGACUUCCAUCUUGAGUGUUGUGUGUUUCAGUAUGUGGAGUUUGGAAUUGGUAUGAGCAUAUGGAAUCCAUGGUUCUUGCUUCUAAGUAAUAGCAUUCCUUUCAUGAGAUCAUAUAUAUACAUGCAUUAGUAAUUCUAGAAAUUGCUUUCUUUGUUUAAAACAUAUGUGAGUACUAGUUAUCAUGUUUACAUCAAUCUUCUCACAUAUACCUAGUGUAGGGUGUGUAGUCAGAAAAUCUGAGUGAAAAUUAAGUGCAUAUCUACUGGCACACCCCGUCCCGAAGGAGGGUAUGCUGGUUGUCACGUGAGAGUGACGUAACCAUUUACACAGUUCGGAAGCUUUAAAAAAUACAAUUACUAAGAUGAAACACCCGAGGGUGAGUCUUACUUUUAUGAAUUAUGUCAGAACACCGUUGGAUUCCUCGUGGCCACCAAAGCUCUGCUAUCUAGAACCUGAAGGGGCGUAAAACAAAAUUGAGUGGGUCAGUAAAACAAAGUUUUUCGAAAACAUUUCAUUUAAAACAUUUCUAACCCCUCGCUGUAAAACCUGUAUACUUUCCCAGAAAAUAACAUAAUAGCAUAUACCUUCAAAUAUCUCAAAUCAUCAAUCUUUAUCAAAACCAGAAAGUAUGCCAUGCCAUAAUGUCAAAAACAAAAUAUGGAUGCAUCAAUAUAACAGGUGAAAUAAGGAAUCAACCAGAGACCCUGCAGUUGGUCCUGUCGGUUAAUUCUAUAGCUCAAAAUCCAAUCCAACCGGAGUCACCACGGUGACCUGUACGGCGCUACUAUGCACAUAAGUCGGAACUACCUGAAGUAGUAUGUACGACAAGAAUGGUGUAAUAAUACGCUCUAGUGCUUCUCUCAUCAAUCAUCUGUGCACAUAAUCUAAGGUCACCUACCAGUCGGAACCACCUCUAGUGGUCUGUACGACUAGCAUGUCGAAACCCUCUCAUGGUCUGUAUGACAUGCACCUACUUGGAUCCAAGGUGAGCGUGCGAUGCGGUGAAUAAUAUAAGCACUAACACCAGGGAUGCAGGUUAUGAGCUCUCAACACAAUUCACAUCAUCAAUGAUUCACAUGGAUAACAUAAAACUCACCUGAUACUCACCUGUGCGUCCACAACACCAAUUCACAUAUAUAUAUAUAUAUAUCCAUCAAUUAUCAAUUCAUAUAUCUCAUAAUAUGCAUGCAUGGCAUUUUAAAACGUACUUUCAUUUAAACUCAAUUUCUGGGAAAAAUAUCAAUAGUAUAUAGGUAUAAACAGAAAUAUUGCCCACUCAC